UUGCUUCAGCAGCACAUAUACUAAAAUUGGAACAGUACAGAGUAGAUUAGCAUGACUCUGUGCAAGGAUGGCACACAAAUUUGUGAAGUUUGGUAUUUUAAA
Vombatus ursinus (common wombat) is the source of this 102-nucleotide small nuclear RNA. NCBI's taxonomy places the organism in Eukaryota, Metazoa, Chordata, Mammalia, Diprotodontia, Vombatidae. The record is from Ensembl.